AAAGAUUAAGCCAUGCAUGUCUAAGUAUAAGCAAUUAUACGGCGAAACUGCGAAUGGCUCAUUAUAUAAGUUAUCGUUUAUUUGAUAGCACCUUACUACUUGGAUAACCGUGGUAAUUCUAGAGCUAAUACAUGCUGAAAAUCCCGACUUCGGAAGGGAUGUAUUUAUUAGAUUAAAAACCAAUGCCCUCUGGGCUCUCUGGUGAUUCAUGAUAACUGCGCGAAUCGCAUGGCCUUGCGCCGGCGAUGGUUCAUUCAAAUUUCUUCCCUAUCAACUUUCGAUGUUUGGGUAGUGGCCAAACAUGGUUGCAACGGGUAACGGAGGGUUAGGGCUCGGCCCCGGAGAAGGAGCCUGAGAAACGGCUACUACAUCCAAGGAAGGCAGCAGGCGCGCAAAUUACCCAAUCCCGACACGGGGAGGUAGUGACAAUAAAUACUGAUACAGGGCUCUUUUGGGUCUUGUAAUUGGAAUGAGUACAAUUUAAAUCCCUUAACGAGGAACAAUUGGAGGGCAAGUCUGGUGAACGUUGCUGGUGCCAGAGAGAGCCGCCCCUCCGUAAAACGUGCGGCUAGUCGAGUGCUCGCGUCAGUGGCGGGUGAGCACCGGCGAGACAACCUGGGUCGGGGAAGGCUAAGGGCCCCCUGGGGCCUAUGCUGAUCCCGAGCAGAGCCGCGCCGCGAGGCCGGCCUGUGUAGAGCGCGCCAAGGUGUCGGUCCGGGGGGGGGGUUCGCACCCCCCGGGCUUAAGGUACGUGCCAAUCCCCUGCGAAAGCAGGGCCCUGCGGACGGAGCACCCGUCAUGCGAAGCCGCAGGGGGCAGGGGCGCCCCGGCGGGCGCCCCCGCCGUGAACGACAGUGGCCAGCAGCCGCGGUAAUUCCAGCUCCAAUAGCGUAUAUUAAAGUUGUUGUGGUUAAAAAGCUCGUAGUUGAACCUUGGGCCUGGCCGGCCGGUCCGCCUCACCGCGUGCAAUGGUCCGGCCGGGCCUUUCCCCCCGCGGAACCCCAUGCCCUUUACUGGGCGUGGCGGGGAAACGGGACUUUUACUUUGAAAAAAUUAGAGUGCUCCAGGCAGGCCUAUGCUCGAAUACAUUAGCAUGGAAUAAUGAAAUAGGACGUGCGGUUCUAUUUUGUUGGUUUCUAGGACCGCCGUAAUGAUUAAUAGGGACAGUCGGGGGCAUCAGUAUUCAAUUGUCAGAGGUGAAAUUCUUGGAUUUAUUGAAGACUAGCUACUGCGAAAGCAUUUGCCAAGGAUGUUUUCAUUAAUCAGGAACGAAAGUUAGGGGAUCGAAGACGAUCAGAUACCGUCGUAGUCUUAACCAUAAACUAUGCCGACUAGGGAUCGGACGAUGUUAUCUUUUGACUCGUUCGGCACCUUACGAGAAAUCAAAGUGCUUGGGCUCCAGGGGGAGUAUGGUCGCAAGGCUGAAACUUAAAGAAAUUGACGGAAGGGCACCACCAGGGGUGAACCAGCGCACCGCACUGCCGCAGUCGCUCUGCCCCUAAGAGCAGCCGGAAAACCGGUCGGGUGGGCUCUUGGCCGCCAUGGCCGAAAACGCAUGCUAGUCGCCCCGGGCAGGGGCGGCGACACCCUCAAAUUGCGGGGACUCCCUAAAGCCAACCGAGACCAAGCGGCGCCCGAAAGGGCCCCGUGGCCGAGCUAGCAGCCCUGGGUAUGGUAGAACGUCGGUUGGAUGAUAACAAUGGGUGAUCCGCAGCCAAGCGCCUAACCGGCAGGUUGCCCCCCCCCGGGGGGCGCCGUCGCCGCAGGGCGAAGGUCCAGAGACUUGACGGGGGUGGGUUCGGCCGCCGGGCGGCCGGGCCUAAGGUAAAGUCCGUCCGGGCGUGAAAGCGCCACGGAGCCCCUAAGAAAACGGGAGCCUGCGGCUUAAUUUGACUCAACACGGGGAAACUCACCAGGUCAACUGUCUGGGCCUGGAAUAGUGGCGAGGCCUUUUGUGCCUCUCGCCCGCUAGUAUCGAGACUCAUCCGCGUGGGGAAGCCCCCGUUGUCGGGCGCGGAGCGGUGGCCGAAUGGCUGGCCGUAGUUCGAUGCGACACCAGCUGGAACAGGGGACGCCUCCCUGCGGGAAACCGCAUAGGCCAACCCUGUGGCGAGCUCAGGUUGCGCUGAGCCGUUGCAACGCGCGCUAAGCGGUGGGCCGGGCUGCUAGAGACAGCCCGGCUUAAGGUACGUGCUAAUCCCACGGGAAACCGUGGCUCCCCUGAAUAGGCCCGACACGCCGAAGCAGCGGGAGGUGGGCGGCUCGCUACGGGCCGGCCCGCGUGUUUGGUUGCGGUAGCUUCGUAUACGUAUACUCUACGUGCGUAGCAGUUACCGCGACACGGAUGAAUGCCAGACACAAUGAGGAUUGACAGAUUGAGAGCUCUUUCUUGAUUUUGUGGGUGGUGGUGCAUGGCCGUUCUUAGUUGGUGGAGUGAUUUGUCUGCUUAAUUGCGAUAACGAACGAGACCUUAACCUGCUAAAUAGCCCGUGCUGCUCCGGCAGCACGCCGGCUUCUUAGAGGGACGAUCGGCUCAAGCCGAUGGAAGUUUGAGGCAAUAACAGGUCUGUGAUGCCCUUAGAUGUUCUGGGCCGCACGCGCGCUACACUGACGGAGCCAGCGAGUGCUUCCUUGGCCGGAAGGCCCGGGUAAUCUUGUUAAACUCCGUCGUGCUGGGGAUAGAGCAUUGCAAUUAUUGCU
RNAcentral lists this ribosomal RNA (2700 nucleotides) under Cordyceps sp. 97003. Its description in RNAcentral is "bacterial SSU rRNA". The stretch from base 1 to 1510 matches the Rfam family "Eukaryotic small subunit ribosomal RNA". Lineage: Eukaryota; Fungi; Ascomycota; Sordariomycetes; Hypocreales; Cordycipitaceae. The record is from RNAcentral.